GAUGAAGAACGCAGCGAAAUGCGAUAAGUAAUGCGAAUUGCAGAAUUCAGUGAAUCAUCGAAUCUUUGAACGCACAUUGCGCCCGCCAGUAUUCUGGCGGGCAUGCCUGUUCGAGCGUCAUUUCAACCAUCAAGCCCCCGGCUUGUGUUGGGGACCUGCGGCUGCCGCAGGCCCUGAAAUGCAGUGGCGGGCUCGCUGUCACUCCGAGCGUAGUAGUUACAUCUCGCUCUGGGCGUGCUGCGGGUUCCGGCCGUUAAAAGCCUUAUUUACCCAAGGUUGACCUCGGAUCAGGUAGGAAGACCCGCUGAACUUAAGCAUAUCAAUAAGCGGAGGA
This 334-nucleotide unclassified non-coding RNA is filed under the name soil metagenome. Its description in RNAcentral is "partial contains 5.8S ribosomal RNA, internal transcribed spacer 2, and large subunit ribosomal RNA". The stretch from base 1 to 120 matches the Rfam family "5.8S ribosomal RNA", at positions 35 to 154 of the family's 154-position model. The record is from RNAcentral.